RNAcentral lists this non-coding RNA (21 nucleotides) under Arabidopsis thaliana (thale cress). Lineage: Eukaryota; Viridiplantae; Streptophyta; Magnoliopsida; Brassicales; Brassicaceae. The record is from RNAcentral.
GACAAGAAGCGAUCAGAUGCU